ACCUGUUCACAACAAAGACACAUUGAGUUGUAGUCAGACCCAAGAGAAGAUAACUAAUCCAGUGAUCUAAAACUCAUCUUCAUUCAAGUCUGGUGUGAACAACAAAAACUUGGGCAAGGUUCCAAUUGCGGCGCCAUCAUAGAGCAAUCCAACCCGAUUGCCAAACAAACGAGUUUGUGAUCUAACACACAGAUGAUUGUUGACUUGCUCAACACAUUAGCCGUAUCUGCGGUUAGUGUGUCAUAUGAUCUUUUCAACCCUAUGAAAGGGGAUGAUUGACUCAAGUACACCUGCACACUAUUUGCCUGUUAGAUUAUCCAUGUAACAACAUUAUUCACGCAGGACAAAGAGUUCCAAUAUGAGCGGUUCCAUGAGGUUUGCUGCGAUGCAUUUUACUCAGUGGAGGCGUACCUCUUUGCGCAGGUGUUGGAACAGAACCUCUUGGUUCCUCGGAACUGGUUGGCUGGCGCCAGGCUCGAGCAGUACUCACACUUCAAUACUAAAAGAAAAGGGGAAAGCGUUAAGUCACUUACAAGGUGGGCCGUUUUCGGCGCGGGCGCCCAGUGCAAAGUCCCGAUCUUUGAGGAGCCCUGCGACCUUCCAAAUUAAA
Molecule: long non-coding RNA, 610 nt
Organism: Syngnathus acus (greater pipefish)
Lineage: Eukaryota; Metazoa; Chordata; Actinopteri; Syngnathiformes; Syngnathidae
Exons: 2
Source: RefSeq, a predicted model, not a curated record